Molecule: ribosomal RNA, 411 nt
Filed under: Actinomycetes bacterium
Lineage: Bacteria; Bacillati; Actinomycetota; Actinomycetes
Description: Actinobacteria bacterium partial 16S ribosomal RNA
Rfam family: Bacterial small subunit ribosomal RNA
Source: RNAcentral
UGGGGAAUAUUGCACAAUGGGCCCAAGCCUGUUGCAGCGACGCCGCGUGGGGGAUGACGGCCUUCGGUUUGUAAACUCCUUUCGCUAGGGACGAAGCUUUUUGUGACGGUACCUAAAUAAGAAGCACCGGCUAACUACGUGCCAGCAGCCGCGGUAAUACGUAGGGUGCGAGCGUUGUCCGGAAUUACUGGGCGUAAAGGGCUCGUAGGUGGUUUGUCGCGUCGUCUGUGAAAUUCCGGGGCUUAACUCCGGGCGUGCAGGCGAUACGGGCAUAACUUGAGUACUGUAGGGGUAACUGGAAUUCCUGGUGUAGCGGUGAAAUGCGCAGAUAUCAGGAGGAACACCGAUGGCGAAGGCAGGUUACUGGGCAGUUACUGACGCUGAGGAGCGAAAGCAUGGGUAGCGAACAGG